UCAUGUUACAGCUCUUUUAGAAUUUGUCUAGCAGGUUUAACUGUUUGUACCCAGAAAUGCCUCC
Molecule: small nuclear RNA, 64 nt
Filed under: Tupaia belangeri (northern tree shrew)
Lineage: Eukaryota; Metazoa; Chordata; Mammalia; Scandentia; Tupaiidae
Description: U7 small nuclear RNA (ENSTBEG00000020522.1)
Rfam family: U7 small nuclear RNA
About the family: Animal histone pre-mRNAs are spliced by a different mechanism than nuclear pre-mRNAs and self-splicing introns. This processing involves the U7 snRNP, which contains only one RNA species: U7.
Source: RNAcentral